RNAcentral lists this ribosomal RNA (466 nucleotides) under uncultured bacterium. RNAcentral describes it as "partial 16S ribosomal RNA". It matches the Rfam family "Bacterial small subunit ribosomal RNA", at positions 28 to 507 of the family's 1533-position model. The record is from RNAcentral.
GACGAACGUUGGCGGCGCGCCUAACACAUGCAAGUCGAACGAGCGAGAGAGAGCUUGCUUUCUCAAGCGAGUGGCGAACGGGUGAGUAACGCGUGAGGAACCUGCCUCAAAGAGGGGGACAACAGUUGGAAACGACUGCUAAUACCGCAUAAGCCCACGACCCGGCAUCGGGUAGAGGGAAAAGGAGCAAUCCGCUUUGAGAUGGCCUCGCGUCCGAUUAGCUAGUUGGUGAGGUAACGGCCCACCAAGGCGACGAUCGGUAGCCGGACUGAGAGGUUGAACGGCCACAUUGGGACUGAGACACGGCCCAGACUCCUACGGGAGGCAGCAGUGGGGAAUAUUGCACAAUGGGGGAAACCCUGAUGCAGCGACGCCGCGUGGAGGAAGAAGGUCUUCGGAUUGUAAACUCCUGUUGUGGAGGAAGAUAAUGACGGUACUCAACAAGGAAGUGACGGCUAACUACGUG